GGUUAAGCGACUAAGCGUACACGGUGGAUGCCCUGGCAGUCAGAGGCGAUGAAGGGCGUGCUAAUCUGCGAUAAGCGCCGGUAAGGUGAUAUGAACCGUUAUAACCGGCGAUACCCGAAUGGGGAAACCCAGUGUGAUUCGUCACACUAUCAUUAACUGAAUCCAUAGGUUAAUGAGGCGAACCGGGGGAACUGAAACAUCUAAGUACCCCGAGGAAAAGAAAUCAACCGAGAUUCCCCCAGUAGCGGCGAGCGAACGGGGAGGAGCCCAGAGCCUGAAUCAGCAUGUGUGUUAGUGGAAGCGUCUGGAAAGGCGCGCGAUACAGGGUGACAGCCCCGUACACAAAAGCGCAUGUGCUGUGAGCUCGAUGAGUAGGGCGGGACACGUGGUAUCCUGUCUGAAUAUGGGGGGACCAUCCUCCAAGGCUAAAUACUCCUGACUGACCGAUAGUGAACCAGUACCGUGAGGGAAAGGCGAAAAGAACCCCGGCGAGGGGAGUGAAAAAGAACCUGAAACCGUGUACGUACAAGCAGUGGGAGCACCCUUUGGGGUGUGACUGCGUACCUUUUGUAUAAUGGGUCAGCGACUUAUAUUCUGUAGCAAGGUUAACCGAAUAGGGGAGCCGGAGGGAAACCGAGUCUUAAUUGGGCGUUAAGUUGCAGGGUAUAGACCCGAAACCCGGUGAUCUAGCCAUGGGCAGGUUGAAGGUUGGGUAACACUAACUGGAGGACCGAACCGACUAAUGUUGAAAAAUUAGCGGAUGACCUGUGGCUGGGGGUGAAAGGCCAAUCAAACCGGGAGAUAGCUGGUUCUCCCCGAAAGCUAUUUAGGUAGCGCCUCGUGAAUUCAUCUCCGGGGGUAGAGCACUGUUUCGGCUAGGGGGUCAUCCCGACUUACCAACCCGAUGCAAACUGCG
This 916-nucleotide ribosomal RNA is filed under the name Salmonella enterica. RNAcentral describes it as "partial 23S ribosomal RNA". It matches the Rfam family "Bacterial large subunit ribosomal RNA", at positions 1 to 958 of the family's 2925-position model. Lineage: Bacteria; Pseudomonadati; Pseudomonadota; Gammaproteobacteria; Enterobacterales; Enterobacteriaceae. The record is from RNAcentral.